CCUACGGGAGGCAGCAGUGAGGAAUAUUGGUCAAUGGGCGUAAGCCUGAACCAGCCAAGUCGCGUGAGGGAUGAAGGCUCUAUGGAUCGUAAACCUCUUUUAUAAGGGAAUAAAGUGCGGGACGUGUCCCGUUUUGUAUGUACCUUAUGAAUAAGGAUCGGCUAACUCCGUGCCAGCAGCCGCGGUAAUACGGAGGAUCCGAGCGUUAUCCGGAUUUAGUGGGUUUAAAGGGUGCGUAGGAGGCUUUUUAAGUCAGCUGUGAAAGUCUGUGGCUCAACCAUAGAAUUGCAGUUGAAACUGGGAGGCUUGAGUAUGUUAGAGGCAGGCGGAAUGCGUGGUGUAGCGGUGAAAUGCUUAGAUAUCACGCAGAACCCCGAUUGCGAAGGCAGCCUGC
RNAcentral lists this ribosomal RNA (394 nucleotides) under uncultured bacterium. RNAcentral's name for it is "partial 16S ribosomal RNA". It matches the Rfam family "Bacterial small subunit ribosomal RNA", at positions 338 to 729 of the family's 1533-position model. The record is from RNAcentral.